RNAcentral lists this unclassified non-coding RNA (240 nucleotides) under Hevea brasiliensis (rubber tree). The record is from RNAcentral. Lineage: Eukaryota; Viridiplantae; Streptophyta; Magnoliopsida; Malpighiales; Euphorbiaceae.
GAAGAGAAAUAUAGAUCUGAGCUGAUUGCUAUUUCCUUCCUUGAGUCACCACCUGAAAUUGGAAGUGUACCCGUGGCCGAACUCAAGGGCUAGUGCCUGGAUGUCAGUUAUGAUAAUAGUAUACCUUCUUAUGUAAAAAUGAUACGAAUCUAAGUUCAUGGACGUGUUGUUUCGACUGUAGAGCAAUGCUGUCCACGUUCUUUGUUUCUGUAACAUAAACUCUCUCUGCACGGGUUGUUU